GACGAACGCUGGCGGCGUGCCUAAUACAUGCAAGUAGAACGCUGAAGGAGGAGCUUGCUUCUCUGGAUGAGUUGCGAACGGGUGAGUAACGCGUAGGUAACCUGCCUGGUAGCGGGGGAUAACUAUUGGAAACGAUAGCUAAUACCGCAUAAUAGUAGAUGUUGCAUGACAUUGGCUUAAAAGGUGCAAUUGCAUCACUACCAGAUGGACCUGCGUUGUAUUAGCUAGUGGGUGGGGUAACGGCUCACCAAGGCGACGAUACAUAGCCGACCUGAGAGGGGGGUCGGCCACACUGGGACUGGGACCCGGCCCAGACUCCUACGGGAGGCAGCAGUAGGGAAUCUUCGGCAAUGGACGGAAGUCUGACCGAGCAACGCCGCGUGAGUGCAGAAGGUUUUCGGCUCGUAAAGCUCUGUUGUAAGAGAAGAACGAGUGUGAGAGUGGAAAGUUCACACUGUGACGGUAUCUUACCAGAAAGGGACGGCUAACUACGUG
Molecule: ribosomal RNA, 495 nt
Filed under: uncultured bacterium
Lineage: Bacteria
Description: partial 16S ribosomal RNA
Rfam family: Bacterial small subunit ribosomal RNA
Source: RNAcentral